Molecule: long non-coding RNA, 205 nt
Filed under: Elaeis guineensis (African oil palm)
Lineage: Eukaryota; Viridiplantae; Streptophyta; Magnoliopsida; Arecales; Arecaceae
Description: long non-coding RNA (EGUI_LNC033313)
Source: RNAcentral
AUCGGACAUCCACAGUCUAAUGGGGAAGUCGAAGUGACCAACCGGACCAUUCUGCAUGGACUGAAGACCCGAUUGAACGUAGCCAGAGGCCUCUGGGUCGAGAAAUUGCACUCGAUCCUGUGGGCAUACCGAACGACACCCCGUGUCCCAUCCGGGGAAACUCCUUUCAACUUGGCCUUUGGGAUAGAGGCAAUGAUCCCACUGG